RNAcentral lists this ribosomal RNA (1133 nucleotides) under uncultured bacterium. RNAcentral describes it as "bacterial SSU rRNA". It matches the Rfam family "Bacterial small subunit ribosomal RNA", at positions 8 to 1197 of the family's 1533-position model. The record is from RNAcentral.
AGAGUUUGAUCCUGGCUCAGGAUGAACGCUGGCGGCGUGCCUAACACAUGCAAGUCGAACGGGAUCCUUGGAUUAUUCUAAGGUGAGAGUGGCGAACGGGUGAGUAACACGUUGGUGACCUGCCCCAAAGAAGGGGACAACUAUUGGAAACGAUAGCUAAUACCCUAUGUGAUCUCAUGGUUUGGAUACCUGGAGAUUAAAGCUCCGGCGCUUUGGGAGGGGCCUGCGGCCCAUCAGCUAGUUGGUAGGGUAACGGCCUACCAAGGCUAAGACGGGUAGGGGACGUGAGAGCGUGACCCCCCACACUGGCACUGACACACGGGCCAGACUCCUACGGGAGGCAGCAGUGAGGAAUCUUGCACAAUGGGCGAAAGCCUGAUGCAGCAACGCCGCGUGGAUGAUGAAGGCCCUCGGGUUGUAAAAUCCUUUUCUGGAGGAAGAGAAAGGACGGUACUCCAGGAAUAAGCGUCGGCUAACUACGUGCCAGCAGCCGCGGUAAGACGUAGGACGCAAGCGUUAUCCGGAUUUAUUGGGCGUAAAGCGCGUGCAGGCGGUACGGUAAGUCGGACGUGAAAGCUCUCGGCUCAACUGGGAGAGGUCGUUCGAGACUGCCAUACUUGAGGACGGUAGAGGAGAGUGGAAUUCCAGGUGUAGUGGUGAAAUGCGUAGAUAUCUGGAGGAACACCAGUGGCGAAGGCGGCUCUCUGGGCCGUUCCUGACGCUAAGACGCGAAAGCUAGGGGAGCAAACGGGAUUAGAAACCCCGGUAGUCCUAGCCGUAAACGAUGGAGACUACGUGUGGGGAGGUAACCUCUCUGUGCCGUAGCUAACGCGUUAAGUCUCCCGCCUGGGGAUUACGACCGCAAGGUUAAAACUCAAGGAAUUGACGGGGCCCCGCACAGCAGCGGAGCGUGUGGUUUAAUUCGAGCUACACGAAGAACCUUACCAGGGUUUGACAUGUGCGUGUAGGGAUCCGAAAGUGACGACCCUUCGGGGAGCGUACACAGUGCUGCAUGAUGUCGUCAGCUCGGUCUGGAAUGUGGGUAAGUCUGUACCGAGCGCAACAUGCGUUAGUAAUGGUGUUCUAACGACUGGCGUGCCAACGGAGAAAUGUGGAUGACUUCAAGUCACAUG